AGAUUGAACGCUGGCGGCAGGCCUAACACAUGCAAGUCGAGCGGCAGCACGGGUACUUGUACCUGGUGGCGAGCGGCGGACGGGUGAGUAAUGCCUAGGAAUCUGCCUGAUAGUGGGGGAUAACGCUCGGAAACGGACGCUAAUACCGCAUACGUCCUACGGGAGAAAGCAGGGGACCUUCGGGCCUUGCGCUAUCAGAUGAGCCUAGGUCGGAUUAGCUAGUUGGUGGGGUAAUGGCUCACCAAGGCGACGAUCCGUAACUGGUCUGAGAGGAUGAUCAGUCACACUGGAACUGAGACACGGUCCAGACUCCUACGGGAGGCAGCAGUGGGGAAUAUUGGACAAUGGGCGAAAGCCUGAUCCAGCCAUGCCGCGUGUGUGAAGAAGGUCUUCGGAUUGAAAGCACUUUAAGUUGGAGAAGGCAGUUACCUAAUACGUAUCUGUUUUGACGUUACGACAGAAUAAGCACCGGCUAACUCUGUG
Molecule: ribosomal RNA, 483 nt
Filed under: uncultured soil bacterium
Lineage: Bacteria
Description: bacterial SSU rRNA
Rfam family: Bacterial small subunit ribosomal RNA
Source: RNAcentral